UUGACCCGCGCUGCGCGCGGGAGAUUUAUAAAAUUUUUAUUUUAUUUUUUGUUAUAUUAUAAUUUUUCGUUGUUUUUUUUUUGUUUUGCAUUGUUUGUUUUGUUGGCUUGUUACUGUUGUUAGUUUUUGUUAUUCUAUUUUUCAUAUCGAUUAUCUUUUCAAUUUUAUAGUAAUUUAGUAUUUGAAAUGUUUAUCAUCAUUUU
Molecule: long non-coding RNA, 203 nt
Filed under: Capsella rubella
Lineage: Eukaryota; Viridiplantae; Streptophyta; Magnoliopsida; Brassicales; Brassicaceae
Description: long non-coding RNA (CRUB_LNC002634)
Source: RNAcentral